AAUAGAUACCCCUGGUAGUCCACGCCGUAAACGAUGAAUGUUAGCCGUCGGGCAGUUUACUGUUCGGUGGCGCAGCUAACGCAUUAAACAUUCCGCCUGGGGAGUACGGUCGCAAGAUUAAAACUCAAAGGAAUUGACGGGGGCCCGCGACAAGCGGUGGAGCAUGUGGUUUAAUUCGAAGCAACGCGCAGAACCUUACCAGCCCUUGACAUCCCGAUCGCGGAUUACGGAGACGUUUUCCUUCAGUUCGGCUGGAUCGGAGACAGGUGCUGCAUGGCUGUCGUCAGCUCGUGUCAUGAGAUGUUGGGUUAAGUCCCGCAACGAGCGCAACCCUCGCCCUUAGUUGCCAGCAUUUAGUUGGGGCACUCUAAGGGGACUGCCGGUGAUAAGCCGAGAGGAAGGUGGGGAUGACGCCAAGUCCUCAUGGCCCUUACGGGCUGGGCUACACACGUGCUACAAUGGUGGUGACAGUGGGCAGCGAGACCGCGAGGUCGAGCUAAUCUCCAAAAAGCCAUCUCAGUUCGGAUUGCUA
Molecule: ribosomal RNA, 532 nt
Filed under: uncultured bacterium
Lineage: Bacteria
Description: bacterial SSU rRNA
Rfam family: Bacterial small subunit ribosomal RNA
Source: RNAcentral